CAAUAACAUGAAUAUAGCUUCCAAGGAACUUGUGGAGAAGCUAAAUGCGGAGACUGAGAAACAUCCUGGUCUCUAUAUGGUCAUUUGCUUUAUUGACUUAGCCCUCCAAUGAAUUACAAGCGCUUUGUGUCUUUCAAUUGAAGCAAGGGAUACAUUAGUGAACUAUGGCGUGAUGUGCUUUGCAUGGAAGUUUGACAUCCUACUUGGGCCAACCUGCUAUACAAUUGAGAAGCGCUUCACAAGGCAUAGGAGAGGAAAUUCUUCAAAUUGGUUAGGUGUACGAUGACAAUAACUGUUGCACCAAAAGAGUUAUCCAAUGCAGCAAGAAGGUCAAGCUUCAUUAGCAGCUGAUGGCUAUCAAGCCAGGGAAAGUGACAAAGACAAGACAAGACAUUUGCUAGCUCUGACAAAAGCAUGAGACAAGUACUUGAUCUUGGGCACCAACACAUCCCUCCAGCAAGGUUACGAACACUCAAAACAGAGGUUUGAAGCGAGAAUUCCGGGCAAAAAUUAUUAGAUCCAGAUUGAUGGCAAAUCACCCAUAGAUCCAAUUUUAUGGCAAAAAUGCUCCCAAGAAUUCCCCCCAAGGCCUCCGAGUUUGAGGUGGACUCAACAACAUCCAACAGCAGCUUCUAUUAUAUCGUUUGAAUUCAGCUAACGGCAGCCAUCUCGUUGUUUAAGGCUUCCCCAACCAAGUUAAGCCAGACUCCAUGACUGGAUGAUCCGACGACGGCUAGGUCACUAUCUGAUUCUUUCUGAUGGCAACCCUUCUAAUGAUAGCUAGGUCACAAUCAGUAU
RNAcentral lists this long non-coding RNA (798 nucleotides) under Phoenix dactylifera (date palm). RNAcentral describes it as "long non-coding RNA (PDAC_LNC018015)". The record is from RNAcentral. Lineage: Eukaryota; Viridiplantae; Streptophyta; Magnoliopsida; Arecales; Arecaceae.